GGGUCAAAGCCUCCCCCGGCACCAGCGGGGCGACCGGUGUGAGGCCGGUCUGGAGGUUCGAGUCCUCCCGCCCCGACCAU
This 80-nucleotide transfer RNA is filed under the name Mycobacterium phage Myrna. RNAcentral's name for it is "tRNA-Ser". Lineage: Duplodnaviria; Heunggongvirae; Uroviricota; Caudoviricetes. The record is from RNAcentral.